UCUUUUCUUAGGUUAGGGGUUGGAGGAAGGGUAGGGGACGCGAGCCUGCUUCCAUCUGACGCUGGACGCUUGUCCCUGCCCCGCGUUGCCUUUUAAAUUUUAGCUCAUUCCGAGACACCUGCCGUCAGACAUUUAUGCAGUGUGUGAUUCUUUCUAAAACAACUCCCUGGAAGAGAGGACAUUUAAUUCAACAAUUUAUUGGCCACCUACUGUGCACCAGGCAGUGAACUUGGAACUGGGGCUACUGGGUUACAGCAGUGACCAAGACAGAGGUCCCUGUUCUUAAGGAGCAAGUGAGGGCAACAGAAAAGAGCAGUCAGCUGUCAUGCGAGGGCACUCAAGCAGCCCUGUGGAAAGCUCUACGUGGUGAGAAACUGAAGCCUCCUGCCAACACCAACAAGGAACUGAGACCUACUUCCAACAGCCAUCUGAGUGAUCGAUCCAUCCUGGAAUCAGAUCCUCCAGCCCCAGUCAAGUCUUCAGAUGACUGCAGCCCUGACCAGCAUCUCAACUGCAACCUCGUGAAUGACCCUGAGCCAGAACCAUGCAACUAAACUCUGCGUGGAUUCAUGACCCACAGAAACUGUGAGAUGGUAGCUGUUUGCUUUGUUAAGCCUCUAAGUCUGGAAAGAAUGUCUUAAGCAGUAGCAGACAAUGAACACAAGAUUAUUAUUCAGCUGUUGAAUUGGAAGAGGAGGGGAAGAAAAAAUUUUCAGAUCACAAAAUAUUCAUUGUGUAAAACUUCAAAAAUUCUGAAAUUUAAGGAAAAAAUAUCAUUUGUUGGGAAUUUGUUGGGAUUCAUUGUCUCAGUGCCAAGAGACACCCACUCUUUUUUUUUUUUUGAGACAGAGUCCUGCUCUGUUGCCCAGGCUGAAGGGCAGUGGCACGAUCUCAGCUCACCACAACCUCUGCCUCCCGGGUUCAAGUGAUUCUCCUCCCUAAGCCUCCCAAGUGGCUGGGACUACAGGCAUGCAUCACCAUGCCCGGCUAAUUUUUGUAUUUUUAGUAGAGACGGGGUUUCACUAUGUUGGCCGGCUGAUCUCAAACUCUUGACCCCGUGAUCCGCCCGCAUCAGCCUCCCAAAGUGCCGGGAUUACAGGCAUGAGCCACUGCGCCCGGCCGAGACACUCACUCUUAACAUUUUGGUAUAUUUUUUCUCUCUGCACAUUUUUUAUCCAGCUGACUUUAUUUUGUCUCCUGAAAUCUUCAUUUUUAAAUUAUAGCUUCAGCAUUUAAGAAAAUGUGUCUAACAAAGUCUUCGCAAGCAUACAUUUUUCCCAUAGUUAGUAUACUUAGAAUUUAUUUGUCAAGCAAUUUUGAAGGGCUUUCACUAUGAAAAACUUUAGGGCUUAUUGAUAUUCUCUUUAAGUAGAAGUAUGUUUUUUAUUAUUACAAAAGUUAUAUAUGUAUA
RNAcentral lists this long non-coding RNA (1411 nucleotides) under Homo sapiens (human). RNAcentral describes it as "HSALNT0399085". The record is from RNAcentral. Lineage: Eukaryota; Metazoa; Chordata; Mammalia; Primates; Hominidae.